Molecule: ribosomal RNA, 863 nt
Filed under: uncultured Bacteroidota bacterium
Lineage: Bacteria; Pseudomonadati; Bacteroidota
Description: bacterial SSU rRNA
Rfam family: Bacterial small subunit ribosomal RNA
Source: RNAcentral
GCCGCGGUAAUACGGAGGAUGCAAGCGUUAUCCGGAUUCAUUGGGUUUAAAGGGUGCGCAGGCUGUAAGGCAAGUCAGUGGUGAAAGCCCUGGGCUUAACUCAGGGAUUGCCAUUGAAACUGUUUUGCUAGAGUGUAGUAGAGGACGGCGGAAUGAGUUGUGUAGCGGUGAAAUGCAUAGAUAUAACUCAGAACACCUAUUGCGUAGGCAGCUGUCUAUACUACAACUGACGCUGAGGCACGAAAGCGUGGGGAGCGAACAGGAUUAGAUACCCUGGUAGUCCACGCUGUAAACGAUGAUCACUCGUUGUUGGCUACUUAGUAGUCAGUGACCAAGGGAAACCGAUAAGUGAUCCACCUGGGGAGUACGUCGGCAACGAUGAAACUCAAAGGAAUUGACGGGGGCCCGCACAAGCGGAGGAACAUGUGGUUUAAUUCGAUGAUACGCGAGGAACCUUACCUGGGCUUAAAUGCUGGCUGCAUUGGAGGGAAACCUUCAUUUCCUACGGGACCGCCAGCAAGGUGCUGCAUGGUUGUCGUCAGCUCGUGCCGUGAGGUGUCGGGUUAAGUCCCAUAACGAGCGCAACCCCUAUCGCUAGUUGCCAGCAUGUAAUGGUGGGGACUCUAGCGAGACUGCCGGUGUAAACCGGAGGAAGGUGGGGAUGACGUCAAAUCAGCACGGCCCUUACGUCCAGGGCUACACACGUGUUACAAUGGCCGGUACAAAGAGCAGCCACCUGGCGACAGGGCGCUAAUCUCUAAAACCGGUCUCAGUUCGGAUCGAAGUCUGCAAUUCGACUUCGUGAAGGUGGAUUCGCUAGUAAUCGCGCAUCAGCCAUGGCGCGGUGAAUAAGUUCCCGGGCC